RNAcentral lists this long non-coding RNA (6760 nucleotides) under Medicago truncatula (barrel medic). RNAcentral describes it as "long non-coding RNA (MTRU_LNC006279)". Lineage: Eukaryota; Viridiplantae; Streptophyta; Magnoliopsida; Fabales; Fabaceae. The record is from RNAcentral.
GUUGCAGUUUCUUCAUGCAUUUUUGGAAGCUCUGAUUUUCUUCGGAGGCCUACAAGUAGACUGGUAACUCAGCUAUUUUUUCUUCUUCUGUUUUUUGCAUUAUCGAUACAAAAAGCAAAAGUUUAAGUCAAGGCUUUGUUUGAGAUUAAGAUGCUGAAAUGGAACCAAAAAGUCCUAUUAGUUAUAAAUCUUCCAAUUAUUAGAGUCAGAAAAGUAAUAUGCAUGUAGAAGAUAUUGAGUCAGAUUAUCUAUGUUACAAGAAACUAAUAAGAGAGAGGAGAAUCUUGCAGAAUGCAGAUUUUAAUCUCUCAAACAAAUGUUCAUUUCAAAAAAUUUCCAUUUCAAUAGAUUUAGUUUUCAUAAAAUAUAUUUGUUUGCAAGUUUUACCAUUAAGUUUUGAUUACAUAUAAACGGAAGCACGGUGCACAAAGCUCCCACAUACGCAGGGUCCGGGAAGGGGUCCCACCAUUUGGUGUAUUGUUCGCAGCCUUACCCUGAUUUUUUACACAAGAGGCUGUUUCUAGGGCUUGAACCCGUGACAUUUUAGUCACAUGACAACAACUUUACAAUAUAAUCACAUGCUAUGCUGUAGUGGAUCUUCCUGUCAAAAAAAUGUUGUAGUGGAACUUAAAUAUCCACUUGGAUUAUGUGAUUAUAAUACUUAAUUGGAAGAUUAAUCAUUGAUGUAUCACAUCUUCAAUUUAUAAAUAAAGCAUCUUUUAAUUAUAUAUAAAAUUUAAUGUAUGCCUCUUUGCUACAGAUCAGUCAAUAUUCAAAGGACAAUGUUUGUUUUGUUAUGUUCUUGGAUGAUCAAACACUGUCCAAACUUUCAUCAGAAGGAAACCCUCCUGAUGAAAGAGGUUACAUUGGCCUGUGGAAAGUAGUUGUUGUAGAAAAUUUGCCGUAUGAGGACAUGCGAAGAACUGGCAAGGUGCCAAAAUUUUUAUCACACCGCCUCUUCCCAAAUUCUAGGUAGGUCUCACAAUUUGUUCUUUGUUCUAGCAUCCAAAUUUCUUCAAUUCUGUUCUCAACUUUAAUAUUGUUUGAAAAUACUUGUUUGGCAGGUAUUCAAUUUGGCUUGACAGCAAGAUGCGACUCAAUUCUGACCCUAUGUUAAUUAUUGAAUAUUUUUUGUGGCGAAGGAAGGCAGAAUAUGCCAUUUCAAAUCAUUAUGAUCGUCACAGUGUCUGGGAGGAGGUUCUUCAGAAUAAGCGGUUAAAUAAGUACAACCACACAGCAAUUGACGAACAGUUUAAAUUUUACGAGUCCGAUGGCCUCCCCAAGUUUGAACCAUCAAACCACAAUCCUCUUCCGAGCUGUGUGUAUCCUUCACAUCUUUGUUCAUUAUGGAUUUUUGUUGGCUCUACUUGUGCAUAAUACGAUUCCGAUUCCAACUAUUGAGUCUUUCAUGUUGCAGAUGUUCCUGAGGGUUCCUUUAUAGUCAGGGCACACACACCAAUGUCAAAUUUAUUUUCAUGUCUUUGGUUCAAUGAAGUUGAUCGAUUUACAUCCCGUGAUCAACUAAGCUUUGCUUAUACUUAUUUGAAACUCAGGAGAAUGAAUCCCGAUAGACCAUUACAGCUAUAUAUGUUCAAGGUGAAUUUUUACACCAUCUCUUUUCCUCGCUCUGUGCGCGCACUGUGUGUGUUAAUAUCAUGCAUAUAUGUUGAACAAUACUAUUCCUCAUGUUUUAUGUGUUCUCCAUCAAAAGGCGUAUUAGUCACUCUAAUAAACUACCUUAGCGCUGAAUGAAUAUAUUGGUAUGUAACGAAAAAUGUCUGUCUUCAAUAUAUGCAGGAUUGUGAACGUAGAGCAUUGGUGAAGCUAUUCCGGCACAGGGCAGUUCCAUCUCCGCCAGGGACUGCUUAAACAGUUCUAAGCUCUUGACUUGACAUAACAUGAUAUGUGGAGGGAUGCACGGUGAAGGGAGAGGUAAUCCAUAUUUGACAUCACUUCCAGCUUGACUAGCUGGACCAAAGAGAGGCAAACACAACUGUAGCAAAGGCGGUUUCCGGAUCUUGUAUCUGUGGUUGAAAUGUAAUUGCCUUUGCAAUAUUGUCACGAAGAAUUUAACUGUUAUUGGGUUCAAUGGAAGACCUGGUGGGCGAAGGGCAAGUUGAUCGAUGUUUUAGUUUGUUCAGCUUCCUCGUUUUUGAGUUAAGUAUGAUUUUGAUAACAUGUGAGGUUAGUUUAUCUUUCCUAUUCAUGUAAGAUGUAACAGGUCCUCCAUUCUCUCAGUCAAAAGUAGAGGUUAUUGGUUAGUGGCUUAGUGCUGUAAGUUUUUGGUCAAUGAGGAAUUUUCCUUUUGUAACUUGUCUCCGUAUCAAAGAAAUUAACUACUUUGAUUCAUAGCCAUUGAAUUGGAAAAUAUUAAUAACAUUUUUUUUAUAAUUAUUAUUGUUUGAGUUUCCAGUCCUUCAAAAUAGUGACCAUAAGUGGCAAAGAACUUGGUUCAACAUUAGAAUUCAUUUCAACAAAACAUCGUCAUAUUAUAUAGACAUAGAUAUUUGAACAUACACCAACCAGCACACAAAUAAAUAUCACGUAUUACAUAUACAUAACUACCACAUAUAUUUAGAUUUCACACAUGGCUCUUGAUGGAGGAGCUAUAACCACUCUGAACAUCAUCAUACCUAGACCACAGCAUAACACCACCAUAUUUGGAAGAACCUUUAAUAACUGGAAGUACAGUAGAGGUAAGAUCAUCUGCGGAAAUAAAACCGCUUCCUGCAGCCGUUGGAGAAGCAGGUAACCCUAAGAAUAUCUUGUUUGCAGGGAUACCUGAUGUCCACUGCUUCCACGCAUCUUCGAAGUUCAUAAAUGCAUCAGGGUUGUAUUGACAAGGAGGGUUGUUGUAGAAUUGUACCCAAACAUAAUCAAAAAGUCCUGUUGUAAGUGCAUUUCCUAUCCAAGCAUCAGGAAAUGGACAUUGAGGAGCUGCAGUUAUGUAAACUUUCUUGUUGAACCCUUUAAGGUACCUAGCAAGAUCACCCCAAUGUUGGCUUGAUCCUCCUUCGAUAUCAAAGUCAAUGCCAUCAAGAACAGCAGGACCAAGAGGGCGAGAUGAAGAUUUUCCACCCAAGAAGUUAUUCCAAAGGUAAGUUGCUACACUGUUUGCAUCUUUUGUGGAUGCAAUUGAGUAGCUUCCAGCACCUCCUCCUAUCGACAACAAUACUUUGAUUCCUUUGGCUUGACAUGACUUGAUGUCUGAGCUUAAGCCAGUGCAUCCAUUACUGUAUGGAUCACAAUGACCAGCUAGAUUAAUCAUCGGAGUUUGGCCAUCUCCGAAGGUCGGUAAGAAGGCUAUGAUCACAUAUUCAUAGUUUCCUGUGGCACAAGCCUCAGCUAACGUGCCCUCGUUUCCGUUCUGGCCCCAGUAGAUUGCAAUUUUUCCUGCAUUAGAACCAUUCGCUAGUGCUAACACGAGUAAAGAGAAAAAUGUGAACGAGAUAGUCGAUUUCAAUUCCAUUUUCAUGUGUGUUGUUGUUGCCUAUAUCUAUUGAAUGUUCACAAGAUAUAUGUGUUGAUCAUUUUAUGUGGCAAAUCAUAGUUGUGGGGGUGGCCUUUAUAAGGGUGACAUUACUAAGUAUGUGGUCCUUUUGAUCAUAAGAGCGUUGCUUGGCAGUUACAUUGGCAAGGGUUCCAUGGUUUAAACGCAGUCAUUGAUUCUGACCCAAUUGACAUCCCUCUUGUCUGUUUCUUUUUCUUGCUACUCUUUUUCUUGGCAUUAUGCUUUUGUAAAUUUUCAGUUACAGAAAACAGAAAAGUAGUCACAGCUAUUCAAUUAUUUUAUUGUUUAAAAGUUCAUAUCAGAGUGUAGGCAAUUUAUUUUAUCAAAGUUUAUGCAAUACUCUCUGUCCUUAAAUAUAAGAUCUUUUUUGUUUUUUUUUUCUCACUACAUCUUUUUUACUAUAAAACCAUUUUUAAAUUUUCAAAUGUGUUAAUUUUUUUUUACCAGUAUACCUAUAAUUAUGUCAACAAAAACUGUUAACAGAUUUAAUAUUGUUAUCAAUUUUUUUAAUUCCCGUGGUUUACGUCAACAAACUCUUAUAUUAAGGGAUAAAGUGUUUUUUUUUUGUUACAAGGCAAAAGACAACGAAAUAAAAAAAAUCAGAAGGAACUACUCUCUAGAGUAGAGGGUUUCAACUGUGUUCAUCCUAAGAACAUGCAAGAGUUCAUCCGGAUGAGAGGCAUGAUAGAGCAGCUCAGUAUCCGAAUUAGCUCCAAGUUUAGCAAAGAAGUUUGCACAGUGAUUUCCCUCUCUAAGAGUAUGACAAACAAUGACAUUACUUUACCCAAUUAAAUCCUUAACAUCUUGAAUCAAGAAAGCAUAAAUAUGGUAUCUCAUUGGUGGCCCUUUGAGGAGGUUGAUACAACGCAAGGAUUGGUAUAGCAAACAAGCUCAAUUAUAUUCAAGCUUUUUGCAAAAUAAGCCCAUGGUAGAUAGCACAAAGCUCAGGAUGUCAAAAGAAACAUCGAUGCAGCCAGAAAAACCUGAUAAGUAGUAUCCGACACUAUUUCGGAUAGUUCUACCAAAACCAGCUCGCACGGGUGUACCCAUGCAACUACCAUCGACAUUAAGAAUGACACAAGAAUAAUUAUCAUUAUUCCAUCUAAUGAAUCUGUCAACCUGAUCAAUUUGAGAAUUAUUUUUGAAACAAAGAUUGAAAGAAUCUACCAUAAUGUGAAUGUUGUAGGAGAGAUGACUGACAGUCUAAGUCUCGUUGUGGAGACACAUGAGAUUUCGAUGACGCCAAACCCACCGAACAAUGACCGCAAAAAUGAAAGAUAGAUGACCUAAGGAACCCUCUUUAACCAGUGGCUCACCUCCAUGAUCAAAAUAAAUUAAGACUAAACAUCCUCGUUUAUAUUUUUACUUUUGGCAUGUCUAAUGCUCCUUUUAGAUUCAAAUACCACCGAAAACUUAUUUUUUAUUUUUUUUACAAUAACAUCUUUGUGAGAAUAAAUAUUAAAUCUUAGAUCACAAGGAGAGUUUGAAAGAGAGCGAGAUCUCCACAUUUAACCAAGAAUAAUCAUACAUAUGGGUUUGUACGCUACAUACAUUCAUAAUUUUAAGGCAUUAAGCAUUACUCACUUAUAUGUUUUUGACAAGUUCAUUUUAUGUAAUGUGAGAUUCUUUUAUUUACAGUUGACACUCAAAUAUUAAUUAAAAGGAUCGCUUAGAGUUUAAAAGGACUUGAUUUACAUUUAGACAUCAUUGAUCAUUUAGACCUGGUCAUUGAUCAUUGAUUCAUCCUUAUUUUAUUAUACUAUCAUGUAUACAAAGCCAUUUACAAAUUAUCCGAUCAUAAAACCUCAUUUCAAUAAAGCUCGUCUAUUUUCACAAAAUUGCCGAUUUUCAAAUAUUUCACCAAAACAAGGUUUAAAGCAUCAACGACACUCUCAUGACAUCCCUACAUAUCAUCUAACAUCUAGGAAAAUUAUUCAUGACAUUUUCGUUUCACAAAGUUUCUUCGUUUCUCAAAAUUUUCCAAGUUCGUCUCAUUUUUAACAUGUUUUGAAAUCAAUUAUUUUCCUCAAGAAUAAGCCAUGUUAAUCCACUAAAAUAAGCCUAAUUAAACUCUAUUCAAGUAGGCUUAGGUUUUAGGAACUCAUAGGGAUACAUACGGAACCCCAAAAGUACGAAAAAACACUGUUUCCAGACCACCUAGAGAGUGCACGAUCGUGCACUUUUGCACAGGCAAAAGCGGAAGGUCCAGGAACUUGUGCACGGGUCGUGCACUUCCUGGUGCAAACCGUGUACUCUGCUCUAAUAGCAAAGUUGCAUGUUUUCGUGUUUUCGCGCGCAGGAAAAUGUCUGAUUUUUGAUCCAUUUUCGAUCCUGUUUUCAUCGAUUUCGUUCCAAACACUUAAAUAGUUGAUUCUCACCUCAAAAUAUAGUUUUCUAACCCAAAACAAAUUUAUUCAAAUCAACCAAAAUGACUUAUUUUCAAAAGUUCUUAAAAACGGCUUUUAGCUCAAAAACUCGAUUUUCUCCAAACGAUUUCUCACCAAAACACAUUGAUUGAUAACAUAAAUUCUCCUCAAUUCAAUUCAUCAAAACAACCCCUUUAAUCCACUCAAAUUCAUCAAAAUCAACCUUCUCCAAUUUUGAUCCAUUUUUACAAAAAUCACCAAAACACAACAACUUAACCACAACCACACAUUUAUCAUCACCCAGUUCAUGACUUAUCAUCACCAACAUAUACCCAACAACAUUCAUAGCAUAAAAUUCAUGAAUUCAUCAUCAAACAACAAAAACAUCAUCAUUUUCAUCAUUUUAAGCCAAAUUCUCAAAGUAAUCACUUCAACAGAUAUCAACAAUGAAAAUUAAGCAUCAACGACAAUUUUACCACAAAUUCACAUACCCAAAUUCAUCACUUAAUUAUGAGCAUGAAAAUUAACAACCAAAAUCAUUAAAAUCAUAAUUUAUCCAAAACACAUACAAUCCAUAAGUGAAAAAGUAGAUUAUAGCUUAUUAAGUAGAAUCUACCUAUCCCCCUUACAUUGUUUCCUCCAAAGCUAAGCUAAUCUUCAAGAAUCUUCAUUCCUCUUGUGAUUCCAAGCUCUCCUCUUCACUUCUCUCCAAAUGGGUUCUUCUCUUCUGUUAUAUUCUUCUCUUUCUCUCUCAAAUCUCUCUAGUCUCUCUAUUGUGAAAGUGUGAAAUGAUUUCUAACCAUAGUUUUGCACUAGUGUUAUGUUUAUAUACUCCGACCUAUUGGGCUAGGUAACAUCAAUUCAUAAUGGGUCUCAAAACUCU